UACGAAGGGGGCUAGCGUUGUUCGGAAUUACUGGGCGUAAAGCGCGCGCAGGCGGUUCUUCAAGUCAGAGGUGAAAGCCCAGAGCUCAACUCUGGAAUGGCCUUUGAGACUAGAGAACUAGGGUACGGGAGAGGUGAGUGGAAUUCCGAGUGUAGAGGUGAAAUUCAUAGAUAUUCGGAAGAACACCAGUGGCGAAGGCGGCUCACUGGCCCGUUACCGACGCUCAGGCGCGACAGCGUGGGGAGCAAACAGG
This 253-nucleotide ribosomal RNA is filed under the name uncultured bacterium. Its description in RNAcentral is "partial 16S ribosomal RNA". It matches the Rfam family "Bacterial small subunit ribosomal RNA", at positions 524 to 776 of the family's 1533-position model. The record is from RNAcentral.